UUCAAGAUCAACCAGGCAGACACCACAGUGAGUUUUCCAUCAAAAAACCUUCUCUAUCUGGUCAGUCUCUGCAGGUCAAUGAGACAAAGGUGUGUGCUGCACGCAGCAGGACUAUCCUAAGCUCCCUGUGUUCUCACCACAGGGCUGGGUGGCUGGGGUGGAGGAACACAGGAUUGGGCUUCAGCUUCUCUAGGAACUGGUACAUUAAGAGAUGAAGACAUAAAAGGUGAGAAAAUCAUGGUUUAUUUCCAAUGUUUCCAUUUCUGUUAAAAGUAAUGCUUUCAACAGAAAAAAAAAACGCAGCAAUGUGUGUAAUUUACAAAAUAAUUUCAGGAUUUCUUUAAUCAUUAAUUUGUGGUGUGAUCUGUUAACUGGAUUUAUGUCUAAGCUCAUUUGUAAAUAACUUCAAAUAUCCGAGCCUUCCCUCACCCUCUUCCCACCUCACCUCUCCUCCUUCUCCUCCCCUACACUGGAGAACACUAUGUACAUGCAUAUAAUGGCCUGCCCUAGAGGAGUUCUGAGCCUACUGGGGAAGAAAACACCAACUCACAGGAAAACAGCAGAAAUCACACAAAACAGAAUAAAAGCAAGCGCUGAUCUGUAAGUGAAGACUUAAGUGCUAUAGGACUUCCAGCUACAAAUCCUGAAAACAGGGAGUGGCUGUGAUAAUACGACUAGCCAACAUCACACAGUAAUUUUGCACAUAAGGAGAACUAAAUCAAAGAAAACAAGGAAAAGAAAGUUGAGCCUAUAAUCGUGAUACAGGCACUAAAAUCUCAGGUGACAUUUUUCAAUGGGGGAAAGUCAGUCAACUUCCGAUCUCCAAACCAUCUUUACUAGCGAGCUUCCCACAGUGGUUCUAGAACCUUCCUUCAUUCCAACCCAACCAGGACUCCAAAAGACUCAUAGACAGCACAGCCCUUGAGAAAUUAAAGGGAGAACCCACCAACCGGCGCCCCACUCUCCACCUCAAGUCACCUCUGGCUCAACCAAGAUGUGCUCAGGCCAAGAAAGCUGCCCCACCCCACAGGCUUUGCCUGUCAUUUUUAACAAGCCGACUCAGCACAUCUCUCCGAUGGACCAUGCAAGGCUUUUCGCGGCUCUUGGGGCUUUGCCUCUUCAUGAGCAGACACUCCCUCUUAGACUAAGACCUGGAGCUGGAAAACAGAUCCCAACCUGGAAGAGUGACGGAUGGUAUUUCAGAUACAAGUGA
RNAcentral lists this long non-coding RNA (1213 nucleotides) under Pongo abelii (Sumatran orangutan). RNAcentral's name for it is "lncRNA (ENSPPYG00000038303.1)". Lineage: Eukaryota; Metazoa; Chordata; Mammalia; Primates; Hominidae. The record is from RNAcentral.